Molecule: ribosomal RNA, 484 nt
Filed under: uncultured bacterium
Lineage: Bacteria
Description: partial 16S ribosomal RNA
Rfam family: Bacterial small subunit ribosomal RNA
Source: RNAcentral
AUUGAACGCUGGCGGAAUGCUUUACACAUGCAAGUCGAACGGCAGCACGGGGGCAGCCCUGGUUGCGAGUGGCGAACGGGUGAGUAAUACAUCUGAACGUGCCCGGCCGUGGGGGAUAACAUAUCGAAAGUUACGCUAAUACUGCAGACGAUCUGAUGAUGAAAGCGGGGGACCUUCGGGCCUCGCGCGAGCGGAGCGGCCGAUGUCAGGUUUGGUAGCUGGUGGGGUAAAGGCCUACCUAGCCGGCGAUCGGUAGCUGGUCUGAGUGUACGAGCAGCCACACUGGGACUGAGACACGGCCCAGACUCCUACGGGAGGCAGCAGUGGGGAAUUUUGGACAAUGGGCGCAAGCCUGAUCCAGCCAUUCCGCGUGCGGGACGAAGGCCUUCGGGUUGUAAACUGCUUUUGUGCGGAACGAAAAGGCUCUGGCUAAUACGUGGCGUUCAUGACGGUACCGUAAGAAUAAGCACCGGCUAACUACGUG